This 451-nucleotide long non-coding RNA is filed under the name Homo sapiens (human). RNAcentral's name for it is "HSALNT0027101". Lineage: Eukaryota; Metazoa; Chordata; Mammalia; Primates; Hominidae. The record is from RNAcentral.
CAAGGUUUAAAAAAAAAUGCAGAGAAAAAUCCAUUCUAGAUUCAAGACCUCUCUUCAAAGUCUAACUAUUCUCUCCCCUUCAAGCCCCUCACAAUGCUCUUCUAAAUGCUUCCCUUUGUCCCAACUUUCUUGUCACCCUGCUGACUUCAAUCCUUGGUUUUUCAGUCUAAAGUGUGCCCCUCAGGGCCCACACUGGCUCCCUGAAAGCGAGAGCAGCUGGGACACAACUGUCCACCCUUGGGUGGGGAGCUCAGUGACCCCAGGAGCAUGAGCCCUGCAGCCAAAGCUCCACAACUCCUCCCAAGAACAGCUCUGACAGGUCACAGGAUAAAACACCGGGCAUCUGUGAGCCAUGUGGGCAUACAUAAGAAUGGCAGAAAUGCCAGAAAAUUAAACCAUACUUAGGAGAAAAAGAAAUCAACUAGAACACAAAAACAAGCAAAAAGAAAAC